Molecule: ribosomal RNA, 253 nt
Filed under: uncultured bacterium
Lineage: Bacteria
Description: partial 16S ribosomal RNA
Rfam family: Bacterial small subunit ribosomal RNA
Source: RNAcentral
UACAGAGGGGGCGAGCGUUGUUCGGAAUUACUGGGCGUAAAGGGCGCGUAGGCGGCCAACUAAGUCAGACGUGAAAUCCCUCGGCUCAACCGGGGAACUGCGUCUGAUACUGGAUGGCUUGAAUUCGGGAGAGGGAUGCGGAAUUCCAGGUGUAGCGGUGAAAUGCGUAGAGAUGUGGAGGAACACCAGUGGCGAAGGCGGCUCUUUGGGCAUUACCUGACGCUGAGGAGCGAAAGCGUGGGGAGCGAACAGG